RNAcentral lists this ribosomal RNA (373 nucleotides) under uncultured organism. RNAcentral's name for it is "partial 16S ribosomal RNA". It matches the Rfam family "Bacterial small subunit ribosomal RNA", at positions 525 to 896 of the family's 1533-position model. The record is from RNAcentral.
GUAGGGUGGGCAAGCGUUGUCCGGAAUUAUUGGGCGUAAAGCGCGCGCAGGCGGUCCUUUAAGUCUGAUGUGAAAGCCCACGGCUCAACCGUGGAGGGUCAUUGGAAACUGGGGGACUUGAGUACAGAAGGGGAAAGCGGAAUUCCAAGUGUAGCGGUGAAAUGCGUAGAGAUUUGGAGGAACACCAGUGGCGAAGGCGGCUUUCUGGUCUGUAACUGACGCUGAGGCGCGAAAGCGUGGGGAGCAAACAGGAUUAGAUACCCUGGUAGUCCACGCCGUAAACGAUGAGUGCUAAGUGUUAGGGGGUUUCCGCCCCUUAGUGCUGCAGCUAACGCAUUAAGCACUCCGCCUGGGGAGUACGGCCGCAAGGCUG